AUACGGAGGGUCCGAGCGUUAUCCGGAUUUAUUGGGUUUAAAGGGUGUGUAGGCGGGUUUGUAAGUCAGUGGUGAAAGCCUGGAGCUUAACUCCGGAACUGCCAUUGAUACUGCAAAUCUUGAGUACAGUUGAGGUGGGCGGAAUGCAGCAUGUAGCGGUGAAAUGCUUAGAUAUGCUGCAGAACACCGAUUGCGAAGGCAGCUCGCUAAACUGUAACUGACGCUGAGGCACGAAAGCGUGGGGAGCGAACAGGAUUAGAAACCCCAGUAGUCC
This 274-nucleotide ribosomal RNA is filed under the name uncultured bacterium. Its description in RNAcentral is "partial 16S ribosomal RNA". It matches the Rfam family "Bacterial small subunit ribosomal RNA", at positions 523 to 796 of the family's 1533-position model. The record is from RNAcentral.